GAUGAACGCUAGCGGCAGGCUUAACACAUGCAAAUCGAGGGGUAUAUGUCUUCGGAUAUAGAGACCGGCGCACGGGUGCGUAACGCGUAUGCAAUCUGCCUUUCACAGAGGGAUAGCCCAGAGAAAUUUGGAUUAAUACCUCAUAGUAUUAUGUUUUGGCAUCGAGAUAUAAUUAAAGUCACAACGGUGAAAGAUGAGCA
This 200-nucleotide ribosomal RNA is filed under the name uncultured bacterium. Its description in RNAcentral is "partial 16S ribosomal RNA". It matches the Rfam family "Bacterial small subunit ribosomal RNA", at positions 28 to 231 of the family's 1533-position model. The record is from RNAcentral.